This 496-nucleotide ribosomal RNA is filed under the name Sutcliffiella cohnii. RNAcentral's name for it is "bacterial SSU rRNA". It matches the Rfam family "Bacterial small subunit ribosomal RNA", at positions 87 to 569 of the family's 1533-position model. The record is from RNAcentral. Lineage: Bacteria; Bacillati; Bacillota; Bacilli; Caryophanales; Bacillaceae.
AGAAGUUAGCGGCGGACGGGUGAGUAACACGUGGGCAACCUGCCUGUAAGACUGGGAUAACUUCGGGAAACCGGAGCUAAUACCGGAUAAUAUAUAGUACCUCCUGGUACUAUAUUGAAAGAUGGUUUCGGCUAACACUUACAGAUGGGCCCGCGGCGCAUUAGCUAGUUGGUGAGGUAACGGCUCACCAAGGCAACGAUGCGUAGCCGACCUGAGAGGGUGAUCGGCCACACUGGGACUGAGACACGGCCCAGACUCCUACGGGAGGCAGCAGUAGGGAAUCUUCCACAAUGGACGAAAGUCUGAUGGAACAACGCCGCGUGAGCGAUGAAGGCCUUCGGGUCGUAAAGCUCUGUUGUUAAGGAAGAACCAGUGCGAGAGUAACUGCUCGCACCUUGACGGUACCUAACCAGAAAGCCACGGCUAACUACGUGCCAACAGCCGCCGUAAUACGGAUGUGGCAAGCGUUGUCCGGAAUUACUGGGCGUAAAGCGCG